CUCCUUCCCCCCUUCCCUCCUUGCUUCCUUCCUUCCUUCCUGCCUUCCUCACACAGGAAAGGGGGAGACAGCUGUGGACAGAGGGGAUGCAAGACACAGACCAGCAGCCAGGCAGGGGGCAGAGUGACAGACACAGGCAGUGAUCAUUAAACACAAUGAAAUAGUUGAUUGUCUUAUCAUUCUCUAAUCCCUUUAUCCUUGGAAGAGAGAGAGGGAGGGAGAGAGCGGGGAGGGGUGAGACAGAGAGAGAGGGGGGGACACAGAAGGAGUAAAGAAGAGAGAGAGAGAGACUUCUGUGUUGCACCAUAGAAGGCCGUUUUCUGUGGAUUAUAACUUUCACUCACUCCAACUGUUAGGGGAACCCCGCUUGUUUCCAUGACGAUGGCCCCGACUACGGACAGGUGUAAUUAGGUCGCCUUCCCCGGUAACCAAGGAAAUUAGAAAAAGUCGACGCCAUGCCGACCAGGAUAUCGCCGUUAGAUUCCGCCCCAGGGGGGACUCCGCCCACCAUCCGAGUGGCUCCGCCCAUUACUGCCCUGCAGGAGAUUAGGGAGGGGCCAAGGGAGUACAGGUCACAGAGGGGGGGAGGAGCUGGUGUCCUCUUCAACAUCAACAACAGCAAC
Molecule: long non-coding RNA, 623 nt
Organism: Gadus morhua (Atlantic cod)
Lineage: Eukaryota; Metazoa; Chordata; Actinopteri; Gadiformes; Gadidae
Exons: 3
Source: RefSeq, a predicted model, not a curated record